This 449-nucleotide ribosomal RNA is filed under the name uncultured bacterium. RNAcentral's name for it is "bacterial SSU rRNA". It matches the Rfam family "Bacterial small subunit ribosomal RNA", at positions 329 to 794 of the family's 1533-position model. The record is from RNAcentral.
CUCCAGACUCCUACGGGAGGCAGCAGUGGGGAAUAUUGCACAAUGGGGGAAACCCUGAUGCAGCGACGCCGCGUGAGUGAAGAAGUAUUUCGGUAUGUAAAGCUCUAUCAGCAGGGAAGAAGAAGGACGGUACCUGAGUAAGAAGCCCCGACUAACUACGUGCCAGCAGCCGCGGUAAUACGUAGGGGGCAAGCGUUAUCCGGAUUCACUGGGUGUAAAGGGAGCGUAGACGGCGACGCAAGUCUGGAGUGAAAGCCCGGGGCCCAACCCCGGGACUGCUCUGGAAACUGCGGCGCUGGAGUACGGGAGGGGCAGGCGGAAUUCCUGGUGUAGCGGUGAAAUGCGUAGAUAUCAGGAGGAACACCGGCGGCGAAGGCGGCCUGCUGGACCGUGACUGACGUUGAGGCUCGAGAGCGUGGGGAGCAAACAGGAUUAGAUACCCCCGUACU